UGAAGAUAACGGUAAGAUGGUUGAAGAAGUCAAUACUCAAGUUUUUCAACUCGAGGUUGACUACACCAUCCAUACCCGCAGCCUUCAUGUUUUUAGUACUUCUAAUAGCUGUUAGCGCCGUCAAAGAGCUUAGGUACCUCAUAUUUGUACCUCUAGCGGUAUCAAAAUUCCAGAACCAAUCAGAUUCCGUUUACAUACGGUCUAUCACGCUUCACGCUCACUCGACUCUACUCAUUUCUAUUCCACACUAACUUUUUCUACUACACUAGCGAAGGGGGAUAAAACGGAAGUGAGAUUUACUGUCAUUCAUUUUCACGUUUUCCUUCACUCGCUUUAACUCUCACCCUGCACUCUAUUUCAAUUCUACUCAGUGGCUGAGUAGAAUUGUAUUCUUUUUUCUUUUUAUCUCACGGAAAUUCUAUUCACUUGCAACUUAAAAAUGAAUUUUCUCUGUCACUGAGUAAACUCCCUUUCGAAUUGCUCCUCAGUAACAUUUCCGUGAGAUAAGGAGAGAGCAAUAAAAUUAUACUCAGUCAUGAUCAAAGCGAGGGGGGCGACACAUCUAAAUCUCAAUUUUAGAUGCUCAAAAAAUCUCACGCUAGCGAAUCAAUCUUCGAAAAAUCUUCUUGCAUUUCUCGCAUCUACAUGCAUCGUGCAUCAUCUUUUUGCAGGAAAUCUUCAGAAUCGUCAUCAAUCUUCUUUCUAUCUACUCAGAGUGCGAGCAGCUAGCCACAGCACAACACAAUCUUUCCUGCAGGCGUAGAUAGAGUCGUCCCCCUCGGAUCAAAGUCGGUAGUUUUAUCAGUUUUAGCGCAUAAUAUGAAAGUAGAUGCCAGUUGAUGGUGGAUAGCGUUUCUAUCUCAAAAUUGACGACUAUCCAUAUGGGACUGAUAUGCGCUGUUAGGCAGUAUAGUAUGAAGGAAUCAAUUUCACUCCCACUGCUAUCAAAUCAAGAUGUUGACCUAUACGGAAGUCUUCCACCUCCCAAAGUUGAUGGUUACGUGUUGAUAAAAUCCGAACAUCACGGUACCUAAUGAGUGAGGAUCAAGCUUAAUCUCCAGAAUGAUUGGUAUUUUUUUUAGAGAUUCUACUAAUAUUUCAAUUUCCGUAUUCUGUACAAAAAAACAGCGACGACAACAAAUAAAGAAGACAAAUCUGCUAGUAUACAAGAGAAAAAUACAGUGGCACUGCAAUGAAGCAGAGGUAGAAUUACUGCUUUAAAGAACUCACACAUCGCUCAAUUUAAGUAGAUAGGUAUUUUUGCUUUUCAUAUCCUUCUUAUUCAUCUUCUUCUUCUUCUUCUUCUUCUUCUUCCUUUUCUUCUUCUUCUUCUUCUUCGCAUUUCAAGCUUAUUGCUAAUCGUAUAUUAGCUUAUUUUAUAAUAUUCAGUCUUCUAGAUGACCUUCCACAGUUAUUAAUAGAGAGCUUUCGAUGCCUGUAUAAUUUUUGCAUUUGUAUAAUUGUGUACAAUCAUUCAUACUCUAUGCCCAGGGAAGUCGAGGAAUUAUCCAACCCGAAAAAUUCCUAGACCGGACCGGAAAUCGAACCCAGCUACCUCCAGCAUGGUCUUGCUUUGUAGCUCCGCCUUUAUCGGCUGAGCUAAGGGAGGCCCCAUAUCCGUUCAAAGUUUUUACCUUUGCGCCGUAGAUGAUAGAAUUGAGUCUGUAUCCAUAUCAGUGUCUGUUUUUAUCAUUUACCAUCACACGCACGGAGUAGCGCUUCAACCCAGUGUAGAUGAAUUGCGUUCGUUUUGAAUAUCUUCGCUGUGAAGUACAAGCGAAACGAACAAAUGAGUUCAUUAUACAUCAACGACUAUGCGUUUGUUGAUAUUCACCACUGCUUGAUUAUCCAACCCAAAAAAUCAAAAUCAGAAGCGAUCCUCAAAAGCAAAAUAAUCAAAUUCAUUUUGGGCAAACUGAUUAUUUUGAAUAUUGUCGACUCCAGAGCCUAAAAUCAAUUCAGCAUGAGGCAAUAAUUUGCUAUCAAUCUGUGUAUAAAAACCAACACAACACGUUCUACAGCGCUGUAUUUGUGUGAUAUUAAAAUAAUCAUUUUGCAUUUGAUCCUCAAACCAGCCCCACCAAGAUAAAGAUGGAUAUUGAUAUUGACAUCCAGCCACGAAUGAACAAAAACAAAUGUUGACCUUGAUACUCAGAGGUUGCCUAGAUCAAGAGAAUGUGUUUAUGUCAAAAUUCAAAUUCCUGCAGGUAGUUGGUCUAUCUGUUAAGGUUGUCUUCAUUUUCAGCUAGGUUAAGUGUAGAAGGAAUGAUUUUUUCAGCACUGAUCCAUAUAUUCUGGUCAAAUGUAGAGAAAUGUUCGAAUACAUCGUUUUGGUUUUCCGACCUAGUUGUCCAGUACUGCAAUUUAUCCGCAAACCGCACUUAAUUGAAUAAAUUCUCCCUACGGUUUAAGUUCUAUCUCCGUUCACCUUAAAUAUCGAGCCGAAUUCUAAAUACAUUUCAACAAACAACUAGAAUAGAGAGAGUAAAUAUCGAAAACUAGAACAACAAGAAAAAAAAUCAGCAAAACACCCAACAUUCACUGAAAACUCCAAGAAAAUGUAGCUUUAAAUGUGGACAAUAAAAUGAUAGCCAUUCGAAAACAUCAAACCCUACUUACACAAAAAAAAACAUCCUCACUCACACACACACCAUGCGCAUAUGUAUAUCGGUGGGAAAAUAAAGCAGAACCCAGAAGCAGAAAAAAAUCAAAUACAAUAUCAGUAGCAAAUGAUAGAAGCGAUCAAAGCGACAAAACCUAGCCGAAUCUGAACCAAGUUUGAACUAUAAGAGAAAACCUUAAUAACGCCAAGCGAGAGUACUGUGUUUAAAUACAAAUGUUGAUUACUUGUUUAGGGAUUUCAGUUACGAUAUAUAGACUAUUGCAAAACUCCAGCCAGAGACCACGCGAGGGUGGAAGCGGAGAAAGGAAGAUAUUCAUCUACGUAUGCAUUGUUUUGUGUUUCCGUUCAACAUUGGAAUUUAAUGAAUCCUAAAUAUACAAACAUAGCCGACUUAGUCAAGCGAAACUGUUCUAAAACUAUUUCCGUUAGCUGAAAGUGGAAGUUUUGUUCAAACUCGAAAGUUACUGAUUAUUCUCAAACUAAGCAGAAUCAAGUUCUAAUCAAUUAAAAAUGAAGAAAACAGAAGAUAAAUCGCAUUUACCGAAGUGGUCCCCAAGAAACCGCUUCAAUAAAAGUUUGUAAAAUUGACCUGACAGAGAAAAUAUAACUAAUUUGCAGAAAA
Molecule: long non-coding RNA, 3245 nt
Organism: Ochlerotatus camptorhynchus
Lineage: Eukaryota; Metazoa; Arthropoda; Insecta; Diptera; Culicidae
Exons: 2
Source: RefSeq, a predicted model, not a curated record